AGCGCCUGCGGCAGGCCCGGCGCGGACCCUUCUGACACGGCUUCGCAGGCAGCCGGUCCGCGUACGGUCGGGUACAGACAGGAAUUUCCUGUCUUUAACGGUUUC
This 105-nucleotide small RNA is filed under the name bovine gut metagenome. RNAcentral's name for it is "RT-5 RNA". It matches the Rfam family "RT-5 RNA". From Rfam's summary of the family: Clostridium (Firmicutes). Environment (Cow rumen (57)) The record is from RNAcentral.